RNAcentral lists this ribosomal RNA (432 nucleotides) under uncultured bacterium. Its description in RNAcentral is "partial 16S ribosomal RNA". It matches the Rfam family "Bacterial small subunit ribosomal RNA", at positions 29 to 506 of the family's 1533-position model. The record is from RNAcentral.
AACGAGCGCUGGCGGCAUGCCUAACACAUGCAAGUCGAACGAGACCUUCGGGUCUAGUGGCGCACGGGUGCGUAACGCGUGGGAACCUGCCCUUAGGUUCGGAAUAACUCCCCGAAAGGGGUGCUAAUACCGGAUAAUGUCUUCGGACCAAAGAUUUAUCGCCUUUGGAUGGGCCCGCGUUGGAUUAGCUAGUUGGUAGGGUAAAAGCCUACCAAGGCGACGAUCCAUAGCUGGUCUGAGAGGAUGAACAGCCACACUGGGACUGAGACACGGCCCAGACUCCUACGGGAGGCAGCAGUGGGGAAUAUUGGACAAUGGGCGAAAGCCUGAUCCAGCAAUGCCGCGUGAGUGAUGAAGGCCUUAGGGUUGUAAAGCUCUUUUACCCGGGAUGAUAAUGACAGUACCGGGAGAAUAAGCUCCGGCUAACUCCGU